Molecule: long non-coding RNA, 200 nt
Organism: Phalaenopsis equestris
Lineage: Eukaryota; Viridiplantae; Streptophyta; Magnoliopsida; Asparagales; Orchidaceae
Exons: 2
Source: RefSeq, a predicted model, not a curated record
UUCCCACGUGAGAAACUUUCUCCUCACAUUUUAACAUCGCACGUGCCAUCAAUCAGCUGAGCUGAUUCCUUAGCAAAGCCAACUGGAAGCCUCCUGAACCUCCCUCUCGACCUAUUCCUUUCCCCGUCCCCUCGGCGAUCGUCGGCGUUUAUCAUCUUAAGCUGCUCUUAGAUGGAAAGAAACCAUCAUAUUGCAGAGGA